CCGUAUCAUGAAAUAAACCUUAUAUAAAUAAACACGGAAGACAUGGACUUGUAUAGUAUUAACUGUAUACAUGUUGGAAAUCGAAAUGCAUUGUAUUCAAUACCUCCAGAAUAUGGACACGAAUUUGAAUGAUUGGCUAAUCGCUUUUUUCCAACUAAACCGGCAAACUGCCCUGCUUUUCUCAGGCAUAAAGUGACUAUGAUAUCUCCUAAUAUUUUGGAACAAAAUGCUAUACCCUAUAAUAAAAUCACACAGGAGAAAGGGGAAUUCAUUAUAACGUUCCCCUUUGGAUAUCAUAGUGGCUUUAACUACGGAUUUAACAUGGCUGAAGCUAUACAUUUUGCAUCAUCUCCACGUUGGGUGGAGUAUGGGAUAAAAGCUUCACUGUGUCAUUGCCGUAAAGAUUCAGUGAAGAUUUGUAUGGACACAUUUAUUAAACUAUAUUUUAAUUCCGUAUCAUGAAAUAAACAUUAUAUAAAUAAACACGGAAGACAUGGACUUGUAUAGUAUUAACUGUAUACAUGUUGGAAACCGAAAAGCAUUGUAUUCAAUACCUCCUGAAUAUGGACACGAAUUUGAAUGAUUGGCUAAUCGCUUUUUUCCAACUAAACCGGUAAACUGCCCUGCUUUUCUCAGGCAUAUAGUGACUAUGAUAUCUCUUAAUAUUUUGGAACAAAAUGCUAUACCCUAUAAUAAAAUCACACAGGAGAAAGGGGAAUUCAUUAUAACAUUCCCCUUUGGAUAUCAUAGUGGCUUUAACUACGGAUUUAACAUGGCUGAAGCUAUACAUUUUGCAUCUCCACGUUGGGUGGAAUAUGGGAUAAAAGCGUCACUGUGUCAUUGCCGUAAAGAUUCAGUGAAGAUUUGUAGGGACACAUUUAUUAAACUAUAUUUUAAUUCCGUAUCAUGAAAUAAACCUUAUAUAAAUAAACACGGAAGACAUGGACUUGUAUAGUAUUAACUGUAUACAUGUUGGAAAUCGAAAAGCAUUGUAUUCAAUACCUCCAGAAUAUGGACACGAAUUUGAAUGAUUGGCUAAUCGCUUUUUUCCAACUAAACCGGCAAACUGCCCUGCUUUUCUCAG
Acyrthosiphon pisum (pea aphid) is the source of this 1084-nucleotide long non-coding RNA. RefSeq lists it as uncharacterized. NCBI's taxonomy places the organism in Eukaryota, Metazoa, Arthropoda, Insecta, Hemiptera, Aphididae. The record is from RefSeq and is a predicted model, not a curated record. The transcript has 8 exons.